UGGGGAAUAUUGGACAAUGGGCGAAAGCCUGAUCAAGCCAUGCCGCGUGUGUGAAGAAGGUCUUCGGAUUGUAAAGCACUUUAAGUUGGGAGAAAGGGCAUUAACCUAAUACGUUGGUGUUUUGACGUUACCGACAGAAUAAGCACCGGCUAACUCUGUGC
This 161-nucleotide ribosomal RNA is filed under the name uncultured bacterium. RNAcentral describes it as "partial 16S ribosomal RNA". It matches the Rfam family "Bacterial small subunit ribosomal RNA", at positions 355 to 508 of the family's 1533-position model. The record is from RNAcentral.